Ictidomys tridecemlineatus (thirteen-lined ground squirrel) is the source of this 1143-nucleotide non-coding RNA. NCBI's taxonomy places the organism in Eukaryota, Metazoa, Chordata, Mammalia, Rodentia, Sciuridae. The record is from RefSeq and is a predicted model, not a curated record.
CGACUCCGUAGCCCUGGAUCAACGCGCUGUUUGUCAGAGCGGCAUCUUAGAGUCGGCACCGCCAUAAAUCCCUGGAGGAGAAGACCAGCCCAGGGCUCCCGUGUGUGGACACAGGAGGAGCCGGCUGCCCGCGGCUCAGGUGGGUGCCUCCCGUCCCUGACCUGGGAGUGCUUUCCUCCUGAUUCCCUGUCCUCUCCACCAAUGUCUGGUGUCCAGGGUGGUGGGAAGCUACCGACCCUGAAACAUGCUGUCCCCGAGACGCUCACCCAGCCCUGUUCCCCAGCCAGGGGCCACGGGAACGGAAAGAGUGGGCGCCUGGGCCUUCUCCCCACAACCCAGACCCAGAGCACCCGGUCCUGAGGCACAGCUGGGGAAGCCGAGGAGCAGCCCGCUACCAGGCAGGAGAGGGCCUGGGACCUGCGGGCAGUCGAGGACCAGGAACAAUCGCUGUCACAGCUCACGUCAACAGACCGUGACAAGGGGCUCCUGUCCAGGCGGCUCCAGUGGCUCUGAACAGGAUUCCAGAUGAGGAGACAAUGUCCCAUUCCACUGGAUCACUAACCAGGGAGCAGAGCUCCAGGCUCCUCGCAUAUGUGCUCCACAGUGGGCGAGAGAACUGCAGUUCAGGACCUCUCCUGGACCGGCUGUGUUUGCAGGAGUCCGCCUCGCCCCAUGGCUGUGUCAGGAAAGACGUGGAGGCCAAUUUGUCUUUGUUGGACUGGAGGCGUUGAUUUGUUCCUGACACCAUGGUGGACGGACAGGGCAUCUGGGAUCCCUUCGUUUUCCCUGUGUCCGGGACCCUGGUGAGUUUUCAGACAGGAAUCGAUACAGAGAGACGGGCUGACCCCACACGAGCUGCACUUCGUGCCAGAAGAACCACCAGAGGCCGGGACUCGCGUCCACGAGGAACCUGCAGUGCCCACGGGGACAGGCCUGUGGGCUGGGGGCUCCCUGGCCCUGGGAGCUGGGGCCUCCGCCUUGUGCUGUGCUCUCUGCUUGGCUUUGUGUCAGGACAAUCAGACUCACCUCUGUCCACUGCAGUGGCUGGGCGAGGCCUGCGCCAAGACCGUCUCUGGAAGCAGGGGUAGGACCUCUCUCUCCCUGGCCCACCUGCCUCCUAAAAUAAACACAGAGUUUUGCUUA